This 256-nucleotide ribosomal RNA is filed under the name uncultured bacterium. RNAcentral describes it as "partial 16S ribosomal RNA". It matches the Rfam family "Bacterial small subunit ribosomal RNA", at positions 524 to 776 of the family's 1533-position model. The record is from RNAcentral.
UACGGGGGGAGCAAGCGUUGUUCGGAUUUACUGGGCGUAAAGAGCAGUGUAGGCGGUCCGGUAAGUCCGCUGUGAAAGUCGGGGGCUCAACCCUCGAAUGCCGGUGGAUACUGUCGGGCUAGAGUGCGGAAGAGGCGAGUGGAAUUCCUGGUGAUAGCGGUGAAAUGCGCAGAUAUCAGGAAGAACACCCGUGGCGAAGGCGGUUCUCUGGGACGGUACUGACGCUGGAGACGCGAAAGCGUGGGGAGCGAACAGG